RNAcentral lists this ribosomal RNA (407 nucleotides) under uncultured bacterium. Its description in RNAcentral is "partial 16S ribosomal RNA". It matches the Rfam family "Bacterial small subunit ribosomal RNA", at positions 30 to 526 of the family's 1533-position model. The record is from RNAcentral.
AUUGAACGCUGGCGGCAGGCCUAACACAUGCAAGUCGAGCGGCGCGCCGGCCGGGUGAGUAAUACCUAGGAAUCUGCCUGGUAGUGGGGGAUAACGUUCGGAAACGGACACUAAUGCCGCAUCCUCUCAGCUGAGCCUCGGUCGGAUUAGCUAGUUGGUGAGGUAAUGGCUCACCAAGGCUACGAUCCGUAACUGGUCUGAGAGGAUGAUCAGCCACACUGGAACUGAGACACGGUCCAGACUCCUACGGGAGGCAGCAGUGGGGAAUAUUGCACAAUGGGCGAAAGCCUGAUCCAGCCAUGCCGCGUGUGUGAAGAAGGUCUUCGGAUUGUAAAGCACUUUAAGUUGGGAGGCGUUACCGACAGAAUAAGCACCGGCUAACUCUGUGCCAGCAGCCGCGGUAAUAC